AAACGUAUGGUUUAGUGGUCAGAGCACUUGGGUGGUUGCCAAGAGGCGCGGACUCAAAUCCCGCUUCGUAAU
This 72-nucleotide transfer RNA is filed under the name Heliconius melpomene (postman butterfly). Its description in RNAcentral is "tRNA HMEL014471". It matches the Rfam family "tRNA". Rfam says of the family: Transfer RNA (tRNA) molecules are approximately 80 nucleotides in length. The record is from RNAcentral. Lineage: Eukaryota; Metazoa; Arthropoda; Insecta; Lepidoptera; Nymphalidae.